This 491-nucleotide ribosomal RNA is filed under the name uncultured bacterium. RNAcentral's name for it is "partial 16S ribosomal RNA". It matches the Rfam family "Bacterial small subunit ribosomal RNA", at positions 29 to 506 of the family's 1533-position model. The record is from RNAcentral.
AGUGAACGCUGGCGGUAGGCCUAACACAUGCAAGUCGAACGGCAGCACAGUAAGAGCUUGCUCUUACGGGUGGCGAGUGGCGGACGGGUGAGGAAUACAUCGGAAUCUACUUUUUCGUGGGGGAUAACGUAGGGAAACUUACGCUAAUACCGCAUACGACCUACGGGUGAAAGCAGGGGAUCUUCGGACCUUGCGCGAUUGAAUGAGCCGACGUCGGAUUAGCUAGUUGGCGGGGUAAAGGCCCACCAAGGCGACGAUCCGUAGCUGGUCUGAGAGGAUGAUCAGCCACACUGGAACUGAGACACGGUCCAGACUCCUACGGGAGGCAGCAGUGGGGAAUAUUGGACAAUGGGCGCAAGCCUGAUCCAGCCAUACCGCGUGGGUGAAGAAGGCCUUCGGGUUGUAAAGCCCUUUUGUUGGGAAAGAAAAGCAGCAGGUUAAUACCCCGCUGUUCUGACGGUACCCAAAGAAUAAGCACCGGCUAACUUCGU